Molecule: non-coding RNA, 27 nt
Filed under: Rattus norvegicus (Norway rat)
Lineage: Eukaryota; Metazoa; Chordata; Mammalia; Rodentia; Muridae
Source: RNAcentral
UCAGAUUUGAUCACGACUGCCUGAGGU